Molecule: transfer RNA, 104 nt
Filed under: Terrimonas sp.
Lineage: Bacteria; Pseudomonadati; Bacteroidota; Chitinophagia; Chitinophagales; Chitinophagaceae
Description: tRNA-Arg
Source: RNAcentral
AGCUUCCGUAGUUCAAUGCCCGCCCGGCUGACGCCAGUCGGACGGGGAUAGAAUAGAAGUUUCCUAAACUUUAGAUACAGGUUCGAUUCCUGUCGGGACUACCA